GAUGAAGAACGUAGUGAAAUGCGAUAAGUAAUGUGAAUUGCAGAAUUCAGUGAAUCAUCGAAUCUUUGAACGCACAUUGCGCCCCUUGGUAUUCCGAGGGGCAUGCCUGUUCGAGCGUCAUUAUAACCCCUCAAGCUCAGCUUGGUGUUGGGACCUGCCGCACGGGCAGCCCUUAAAAUCAGUGGCGGUGCCAUCUGGCUCUAAGCGUAGUAAUUCUUCUCGCUAUAGAGUCCCGGUGGAUGCUUGCCAUUAACCCCCAAUUUUCUAUGGUUGACCUCGGAUCAGGUAGGGAUACCCGCUGAACUUAAGCAUAUCAAUAAGCGGAGGA
RNAcentral lists this unclassified non-coding RNA (328 nucleotides) under soil metagenome. RNAcentral's name for it is "partial contains 5.8S ribosomal RNA, internal transcribed spacer 2, and large subunit ribosomal RNA". The stretch from base 1 to 120 matches the Rfam family "5.8S ribosomal RNA", at positions 35 to 154 of the family's 154-position model. The record is from RNAcentral.